GGGCUCACCAAGGCUACGAUGGGUAGGGGUUCUAAGUGGAAGGUCCCCCACACUGGCACUGAGAUACGGGCCAGACUCCUACGGGAGGCAGCAGUAGGGAAUAUUGGUCAAUGGGCGCAAGCCUGAACCAGCCAUGCCGCGUGCAGGAUGAAGGCUCUCUGAGUUGUAAACUGCUUUUGUACAGGAGCAAAAAAACCCCUGAGGGGGUUCUUGAGAGUACUGUAAGAAUAAGCACCGGCUAAUUCCGUGCCAGCAGCCGCGGUAAUACGGGAGGUGCAAGCGUUAUCCGGUUUUAUUGGGUUUAAAGGGUGCGUAGGCGGCUUAUUAAGUCAGUUGUGAAAUCCUAGUGCUUAACGCUAGAACUGCGAUUGAUACUAUUAGGCUUGAGU
RNAcentral lists this ribosomal RNA (389 nucleotides) under Cardinium endosymbiont of Dermanyssus gallinae. RNAcentral's name for it is "bacterial SSU rRNA". It matches the Rfam family "Bacterial small subunit ribosomal RNA", at positions 261 to 647 of the family's 1533-position model. The record is from RNAcentral. Lineage: Bacteria; Pseudomonadati; Bacteroidota; Cytophagia; Cytophagales; Amoebophilaceae.